Long non-coding RNA from Heterocephalus glaber (naked mole-rat), 1317 nucleotides. The record is from Ensembl. Lineage: Eukaryota; Metazoa; Chordata; Mammalia; Rodentia; Bathyergidae.
CUCUUUCCAUCGAAGCACAAUUCUUAUACAUAUCCCUGUCCCACCCCAACUCAGCAUCACAUAGCUCUCUCUGAAACACCUGGCUACUGGGGAGAUUUAAAUCACUUUAAUCUAUGUAGAGGGUAGAGAAAAUAUCUUUCGUCUUAGAGAAAGAGAUGCGAUACAAAAGAAGACAUCUUAGAAGAGAGGGAAAAUAAAAAUGAAAACAAAAAGUGCCAGCGAUAGCAUAGUUCUGAGACAAAUCCACCCCAGGUCUUUGAUGGGAAGGUGGAUUUUCCAACCAGUGACUUGCCAGUGUCCUGUGUCCCACCUGGUCUUCAUUACUUACACGUAAGUCUGUGCUGCCAGCCCCAGGCAGGAUGUCCCAGCCCUCAUAUUGCAGGCCAGAUGCUAACAAGGGAGUGAUCGAUCAACUGCGAUGCAGCCCACUCCACCCAGCACAGCCACAUUACCUGGAGAGGAGCAAUUAAGUCCCUUUGGUUUCCUUGGAAAUGUUCCAUCCGUCCGUCCCAACUGCCCUGACUCUUGAGAAAUGCCGUAAAUGGUAGAGAUGCUACUGGGAGACAAUGCCUUUAUCUUCCUAUGGAAAGUUUCCAGAAUACGAAGUCAGCCUACAAGAUGGAUUUGCAUUUGCCAAGCCUGCCUGGGCUGAUGGGAAGGAAAACCACUGAUCUGUCAGGAACGUAGAGAUGACUCAAAGACAGGGACGAAGAUGACCCAUCAGGCUGAGCCCUACAGCCAAGUUCUUGCAAACCCAGCUGAAAGUUGUUCUGACUAAGGCCUUUGUGCUUGGACCUCAAAGGUUCAUCUGGAAUCAGACAUGCCUGAACUUGGCUCAGAGCUCCCUCGUGGAAAAGAACACUGUAAACUUCAUUUGCUCUGUCAGCACAAGGUUUAUUAGGUGUAUUUACCUACAUUGAGACAGAAGAAGGUCCAGCUAGGGCUAAGGACACACACUGAGUAAGACUCUGAGCCCAUCAGAUGAGAAAGCAGAGGCUCUGCAGGCGAUGAGCUUUACCCAUAGUCAGGGAUCAGCAAGGGUGGCAGCACUAGGGGCAAGGAGCCAGAUACAAGGCUGCUAAACCUCUGCCUGGAGCCAUAGCCACUGGGUCACACAGCCAUUCAGCUGUGGAGCAAACAGGUGAUGGCUGCGGUGUGACAUUCUAAAGCAGCAGGAGCUCCCAGCGGGAGCCAUGAUCUAAGUGCCAACGUCUGAAUGUCUGAGCCUUUCAAGUCAUCUCAAGAACAGGCAGCCUUACAGGUACCAUCCAAGCCUGCUAUUCUCCAGCCAUCACUGCCAUCCUCACCUAUUAAAAU